UUUUUUUCCCUUCAAGUGUUCAGACGUCGAGCUCGCGCUGUCAGACAGGCUGCAGCAAAUAUUUCAUUUUAACACUCACAAACAUCUGAAUUUAGCUCUUGGUGUGUUCUAAUUGGCGGAUUGUGUGCAAUCGCUGUAAUAUUUUAUUUUUAAAAGGUCUUAAACAAGAAUAAACUCGUUUGUUGUGAGCUCGUUGAGACAGCACGCGCUGUUCGGAGCGGUGAUUUAUCUCUCGUCUAUCUCUCCGUUCUCUGACCAGACAUCAAUUAUUAAUGAGCCCUGACCCUCUAAUAAUAAUAUAUGUUGGUUUAGCUUGUCAGUGUGAAUCAAUUUUAUUUAUUUAUUUGUAUUUUUAACCGAUUUAAAAGUGAAACUAAGGCAGACUCCUCCCUCUCAGUCCCGGGGAUUGCUCCUGUAGAGGCGCAUUUUCUCUCAGACAAUGAAAGUCUCAGCACACAUACAUUCCUCACACAGAGCCAAAAAUCCAUAUUCAAAUCAAAAUAGCCGACUUCCUGUUGGUCGUAGCUAAUGACUGUAAAUUAGAAAGUUGUCCGUCUUAAUAAGAACAAUAUAUGUACCGAGUUUGGUGUCUGUAGCUAAAACUAAGCCCCCCACUUUUGACAAAAGGUGGCGCUAUAGAGUGCCUCCUCCACGCCCUUUUAUGACCUUUUGCCAGUGUCUAGCUAUCAUUAAUACUGAUAUGUGUUCUGAGUUUCAUGAAAUUCUA
This is a long non-coding RNA of Cyprinus carpio carpio, 727 nucleotides long. Lineage: Eukaryota; Metazoa; Chordata; Actinopteri; Cypriniformes; Cyprinidae. The record is from Ensembl.